AACAAUAUCCUGAUGCUGAGUGAGUGGUGCUCGCAGACUCCAGCAUCAGUGAUUUUGUUGA
Molecule: microRNA precursor, 61 nt
Filed under: Sphenodon punctatus (tuatara)
Lineage: Eukaryota; Metazoa; Chordata; Lepidosauria; Sphenodontia; Sphenodontidae
Description: Spt-Mir-338-P2_pre stem-loop
Rfam family: mir-338 microRNA precursor family
Source: RNAcentral